CCCAACAGCUGAUAUUCAGAGGCACCUUUUCAAUGGCAGUUGGAGGGAGGACAUAUUCUCCGUAAGCAGCGAGUGAGUGGUUCACUUCAAUGCAAAGUCCCAUGGGGGAAGUUCUCUGGUCUUCCCGACUCAGGAUGGAAAUGUUGUAAUGUUCUCCACCCAGAAACUCUCCCCAAACGUUUCCUCUUGGGCUCAAGUUCCAUGCAAACAGCCCAUUUCAGAUUAUUUUUAGACUUCCUCUACUGGGCCCAGCUGGAAACCGGACACGAAAACACAGCUUCAAAUGAAAGAGAUGCUAAAGGAAGGAUGGGGAGGCUGUGGUCCUCUGGGUGGUGUUGGACAGCAAUUCCCAUCAGCCUCAGCCCACAUAUCCAAUGGUCAGGGAUGAUGAAAGAUGUAGUCCAGUAAGAUCUGGAGGACCACAGGUUCCCUCAUCCGUGCCCUAAAAGGUAGACCCAGAUUUCUCUCAGCCCUCCCCAAACCAGGAUGAACUCAGUGAAUAGCUCCUUCCAGAACAUGGAGGUGGUGUCCACUGUUUCCUUCUCACCCUCCUUAUCCUGGAUACAACCCUGUGCUAUACGCUAGGUGGUGGGUCCAAAGUUCACCCAAGGAGCUUCAUGCCUGAGCAGAGAUUUGAACUCAGGUCCUCCAGUCCCGGCCUGGCACUCUAACCACUGCACCACACUGCCUCUUCAGCUGAAGGGUGGGAUGUUCUUUGGUGCUUAUUAAGAUUUGGGUUCCGGAAGGAAUUACCUUGCUUCACCUUGGGCGAUGUCUGAAGAAUCCCUCAACUAGGGAUGGAUGUAUUCGUCAAUGUUGGUUUCCCUCCAUUUCUCAUUUCUUUCUAGGCUUAAGUUCAGCCCUUCACAUUCUGAGACAGUGUUGUUGUUUUUAAGAAUUUUAAGAAAUUCACCAGUAUUUUAGCAUACAUUUCCCCUGCCAUACACAUUUGCAAGGAAUUUUGCCUAAUUUACCAUCUUUGCGGUGGGGGGUGGGGAGAGGCGAUUUCCCUUCACCUAAUGCAUUUUUGCAUGUUAUUUUCACCCACAAAAACAUUUUUAAAGGCAGUUUCUCCCCUCAGUGCACACAUUUUUGUACAUGUCAUUUGCUCAGUGAACCGUAUCACAGUUUGGAGAAGUACGUGUUUCAAAGGAUGCCUGCAUAUUGAUUCAGGUAACAUUACACAAAGUGCGAAUUAGGCAGAAUAAAAUAAUGUAAAAAUAAUUAAACAGUUGACUAGUUUAAAUCUUACUAUUAUUGCUAUUAUUAUUAUUAUUAUUAUUAUUAUUAUUAUUAUUAUUAUUUUCCUGUCUUCUUCUUUACAGACCAGGAAAAAGUAAAAACCAUAUGGAUAAAAUACAGAAAGCUGAAACACAUAAAAUAUAAGAGUUAAAAUGUAAUUCAACUAGGACAGAACAGAAGAAGAAGAAGAGUUUGAAUUUGAUAUCCUGCUUUAUCACUACCCGAAGGAGUCUCAAAGCGGCUAACAUUCUCCUUUCCCGCAUUUGCCCUAGCGGACAAGCUCUCACUGGUUCCUACACACACAAAAGUGGGCGCUUCCAAGGCUCUCAGGUCCGUGUCCUCUGCCCAAAUAUACGUCAUGAAGGUGCCAGGUUUUGAUUGGUGGGGCAGUUCCCUUUAAGCCCCAAUGGACCAGCCUCCCUCGCAAUUUGGUCUGGUUACCAGUCACGACUGGUGAUGCGUUCUCCUCCAUCCCAGGCCUUCUCGCUUGCCUCCUGCUCUCUCCCGACCCCCUCAGGGCUCUCUCUCUCCGGAUGUUGUGGCUGGUAUUGUUUUCGAACUGUCUCGAUUUCAGACUCCCAACUCCCUUUUGUGCUUGGACGGCCACCAGCCAGCAUCAUGUCAUACCAAAGGCCGCACAUGCAACACAGGAUUUGGAGAGACAAUGCUCCAUUGUGGUCUGCAAUCUGGAAGCGGCAGCUGCCGCUGCCCAGAACGGAUGUCUCAUUGCAGCAUCAGUCGGACCCCAGAGAUCUGUCUCUCAGAGUGCGACCCACUCCCACCCCCUGCACCAGCAAACACUUCCCAUAAGUCCGUCUGGCUCAUGAUAUCAUUCCUGGAAUCGACUUCCUUGGCCGAAAUCUAUCCUAUUGAGGAUGGGGAAAGAAAACAAAAUUCCUUCUUCCUGAGGCUGUGCUGCUUUGGACAGCUCCUCCCACGCUUUCCCUGCAAGGCUUAAGGAGACACCUGCUCAAGGAUCUCUGGCUAAAUGGGUUCUCCAAACCCCAAAGGGUUUUGAGACUGUUCACACAGUGCAUCGUUGAACUGUGGAACUCUCUCCCACAGGGACAGCUUUCAAAGAGGAUUGGACAGAUCUGUGGAGGGCAAAUCUAUCAAUGGCUAUCGUGAUGGCUAUGUUCUUGCCUCCAUCGUCAGAGCCAGAGGUGCUUCUGAAUGCCAGUUGCUGGAAACCGAAGGCAAGAAAGCUCCUGUGCUCAGGCCCUGUUUGCUGGUUUCCCCACGCACAUCUGGGACGUGGGUGGCACUGUGGGUUAAACCACAGAGCCUAGGACUUGACGGUCAAAAGGUCGGCGGUUCGAAUCCCCGCGAAGGGGUGAGCUCCCGUUGCUCGGUCCCUGCUCCUGCCAACCUAGCAGUUCGAAAGCACGUCAAAGUGCAAGUAGAUAAAUAGGUACCACUCCGGCGGGAAGGUAAACGGCGUUUCCGUGCGCUGCUCUGGUUCGCCAGAAGCGGCUUAGUCAUGCUGGCCACAUGACCCGGAAGCUGUACGCCGGCUCCCUCGGCCAAUAAAGCGAGAUGGGCACCGCAACCCCAGAGUCAGCCACGACUGAACCUUACGGUCAGGGGUACCUUUACCUUUACCUUUACCUUUACCACGCGCAUCUGCUUGGCCACUGUGGGAACAGGAUGCUGGACUAGAUGGGCCAUUGGCCUGAUCCAGCAGGGCUUUCCUUAUGUCCUUAAAAGUAAGUCUUCCUUAUGGAUUCAGCCUGGAUAGAUUCUGGGACAUCUGAAGUCAUUCCUUUCGUCUGGAGAAGAAGACAAUUCCAAGCUGAUCUUGGCUUCCCAGAGAAGCCUUGGGGAGGUGAAAGGAUGUAGAUAGUUGGGGUGCAAGCGUCACUCUUUUCUGUACACUGUUACCCUGUUACCAAGGGUUAUGUUGGAGAAAAGGGCCAUAGCUCAGGGGUAGGGAAUCUGCUUUGUACGCGAAAGGUCCUCGAUUCAGUCCUUGGCAUCUUCACAAAGAGCUUGGAAUGGCUCUUGCCUAAACCCCUGGAUAGCUGCUGCCAGUCAGUGUAAGCAUUACUGAACUGGAUGGACCAAUGGUCUCACUCACUGUUAAGGCAGCUACCUAUGCUCCUGUAGCCCAUUAAGUUUUGCUCAGAAUAGACCCUUUGAAAUUAAUGAACCAAGGUUGGACAUGCCCCUAAACUUCAGUGGGUCUACUCUGAGUAGGACUAGCAUUCACCAUAAGGUCCCAAGAAGGGGUUACAGCAAUUUAAAAAGACAAUGUGAAAAACAGUUUAGAACAAAUGACAGUCACAGGAAUAGGGUGGGUCCAUAUAUAUAUAUAUAUAUAUAUAUAUAUAUAUAUAUAUCCCAGAAGACGAGGGUAAAGAGCUGUGUCUUCAGCAUAUGAUGGUAACUAUACAAUGAAGGUGCCAAAUUUACAGUUUUAAGGCUGCCACAGAGAACCAUACCCCUCAACCAUCCCACUUUGAGUGGGACAUCCCAGGAUUACAGAAGCUAUCCCAGCUUCUGACUGGAUCCCAGAAUGUCCUGUUUUUUUGGUACGGCAAUCUAGCGUGAGUCAGCUGGUUUACACCAGAGCACCGGACCAAAAGACACUUAUUCUUUUGGUCAUGAGCAAGACACCUGGCUCCUGCAAGAGCUCAGGACCAAAAAGCGAGCAUCCUUAUUUUGAUCUGUGGGCUGUUGGAGGGUAUGGAGAAGGUCCUCUCCCAGGUCACCAGCUCCUGAAAUUCUCAGGGCAGCAGAGGAUCCCCUCUGCUGAUGUUAACACCCAAGAGGAUCUGUAGGAUCCACCGAGACCAUAUAACACCGGUCCUGAAAGACCUACAUUGGCUCCCAGUACACUUCCGAACACAAUUCAGUGUUGGUGCUGACCUUUAAAACUCAGUAUAAGUGAAGGAGCCCCCAUCGUUCAGCCCAGACACUGAGGUCUAGCACCAAGGGACGUCUGGUGGCUACCUCACUGUGAGAAGUGAGGUUACAGGGAACCAGGCAGAGGGCCUUCUUAGUAGUGGCUCUCGCCCUGUGGAAUGCCCUCCCUUCAGAUGUCAAGGAAAUAAACAACUAUCUGACUUUUAGAAGACAUCCCUGUUUAGGGAAGUUUUUAAUGUGUGAUGUUUUAUCGUGUUUUUAAUAUUCUGUUGGGAGCUGCCCAGAGUGGCUGGGAAACCCGGCCAGAUGGGAGGGGUAUAAAUAAUAAUAAUAAUAAUAAUAAUAAUUCAGAUAGGUGAGUCCUAAGUCUUUUUGCGUCAUUUCCCCCUUUACAGUAAGUGUAGGGAACCUCAGAAAACUUCACAGAGGCCCAGAUUAUUUGCUCUCUUCUCCCAAAUGCAGUUCAGUGCAUAGAAUCAUAGAAUUGUAGAGUUGGAAAGGAUCACAAGGGAAAAUAUAAAGCAGGGUUACCCAUUAAAGCCAGGAAGGGGGAAUGAUUGUUUCUUGUGUUGGAGAUGCGUUGGCAGAAGGAUGGAUAUUUUAAUGCCUUUUACUGAUGGUAUGUAAACUUUUGUCUCUCAGGGGAAUUGCUGUGGCCUCAGGUUGAUGCAAGCCAUUAGCUGGAGUUGACUCACCCC
Non-coding RNA from Podarcis lilfordi (Lilford's wall lizard), 4805 nucleotides. The record is from the annotation of a GenBank genome assembly. NCBI's taxonomy places the organism in Eukaryota, Metazoa, Chordata, Lepidosauria, Squamata, Lacertidae.